Molecule: small RNA, 125 nt
Filed under: Marmota monax (woodchuck)
Lineage: Eukaryota; Metazoa; Chordata; Mammalia; Rodentia; Sciuridae
Source: RNAcentral
GCCAGGCAUGGUGGCACACGCCUGUAAUCCCAGCCUCCCGGGAGGUUGAGGCAGGAGGAUCCUGAGUUCAAAGUCAGCCUCAGCAAGGGUGAGGUGCUAAGCAAUUCAGUGAGACCCUGUCUCUA